AACGCAUAUUGCGCCCUCUGGUAUUCCGGAGGGCAUGCCUGUCCGAGCGUCAUUUCAACCCCCCUCAAGCCCGGCUUGUGUGUUGAGCGGCGGUUCCCUUCACCGGGGGCCGGCUCCAAAUGCAGUGGCGGCGCCGCUAUCUCAAGGGUGACUGAGCACAUGGGAAACUUCGUGCUUGCCAAAAAGUCCCCGGUGGCCGCUUGCCCCCCCUAAUCGACGGUGGAGUCCGGUACCGCUUGCCGGGCCCGGGCCCCGCUGUCGUAUCGCUAGGUUGACCUCGGAUCAGGUAGGGAUACCCGCUGAACUUAA
This 309-nucleotide unclassified non-coding RNA is filed under the name uncultured Onygenales. RNAcentral describes it as "sequence contains 5.8S rRNA gene, ITS2, 28S rRNA gene". The stretch from base 1 to 52 matches the Rfam family "5.8S ribosomal RNA", at positions 103 to 154 of the family's 154-position model. The record is from RNAcentral. Lineage: Eukaryota; Fungi; Ascomycota; Eurotiomycetes; Onygenales.